CUCUCGCACAGCUCUGCCUCCUCGUUAUCCCUAUGCUAGCUACUUGAAGAAAAACUCUGAGCUCAAGACUCAAUGUUUCAAUCUAUCGUCUAAAAGCUUUGAGGUCGUUUGUGGCAUCUUUGAAGAAAAGAAUCAAUCAAUCGCAUUUCUCAAUUCAAGGGUGUUUUUGGUUUUUUUAAAAGGACAGAACUGUUGUUGGCAAGUGGACUAAGCAAUUUCCAGUUUCUAGGUAUAUCUUGAGUCAUUGAUUACCAGUUUCGAUCUAGGUAUUGUUCUGCUGCAGUUUCUAGGUUGUUGAUGAUGUACAUCCUUUAACAAUAUAUGAUUCCUGAAGAUUGUCUGAGGUUGGCUCUGAUCAUUUUUGUUACUGGUAUUCAUUAUUAACACUUAGAAAUAUUCUGGACAUAUACUUUUAAGACAAUACUUUGGACUUAUGAAAUAGCAGUGCAUGUUACCUCUUAUUUAGCUUUACUUUUAACAUUGACAGGUUCUGUAAUUCUUCUCUUUUAUCAUUUUUGCAAUUCAGAGAAUGACUUGCCUGCAGCCAUGAUGGAAUUGAUAUGGAUAAUAACGCAGCAGUUGCUAAUCUCCAUCACUUCCAUAUACUGUGGUUUAGCUACCCUUCUGUAAUCUUUCUGUCUUUUCUUUAUCUUAGCUAACAUAUGCGUGAAUUUGUAGAGGAACAAUAAAAUUUGCAUUAUGGAGUAUUGUAGAGUGGGUAUUUUAUCUUUUAUUAAUUCAAAUGUACAUAGCAUUAGAAUUUUGUCAUUGUAAUGUGUAAUAUUUUUUGCCAAUAGGACAAUUAAUUUUUUGCAAUUAAUCAAAAAAUCAAUAUAUAUAAUUUUUUUUUUAAAAACUGAAAAAAAUUUGAUGGCGUUUCUAAAAUGCCAUGGAAUACAUUUGAUGGCGUUUUCAAAAUGUCAUGGAAUACAUUUGAUGGCGUUUUCAAAACGCCAUGGAAUAAAAUUUGAUGGCGUUUUGAAAACGCCAUGAAAUACGUACAUUUGAUGACGUUUUCAAAACGCCAUGGAAUACAUUUGAUGGCGUUUUGGAAACGCCAUGGAAUUAAUUUUAAUGGCGUUUUAGAAACGCCAUCAAUCUGUUUAGGAAAAGACGGCACCGGUAUUUACGGCGUCUGGGGAUGGCGUUGAAAAACGCCAUGAAAUACAUUUAAUGACGUUUUUCAAACGCCAUUAAUCUAUUUCU
Long non-coding RNA from Rosa rugosa (rugosa rose), 1206 nucleotides. RefSeq lists it as uncharacterized. Lineage: Eukaryota; Viridiplantae; Streptophyta; Magnoliopsida; Rosales; Rosaceae. The record is from RefSeq and is a predicted model, not a curated record. The transcript has 5 exons.